This 477-nucleotide ribosomal RNA is filed under the name uncultured bacterium. RNAcentral describes it as "bacterial SSU rRNA". It matches the Rfam family "Bacterial small subunit ribosomal RNA", at positions 28 to 488 of the family's 1533-position model. The record is from RNAcentral.
GAUCAACGCUGGCGGCGUGCCUAACACAUGCAAGUCGAACGCGAGAGGGGCUUCGGCCCCGAUUGAGUGGCGAACGGGUGAGUAACGCGUGGGUGACCUACCUUCGAGUGGGGGAUAACGUCCCGAAAGGGACGCUAAUACCGCAUAACAUCCUGCUUUUGAAUGGGUGGAGAUCAAAGCCGGGGAUCGCAAGACCUGGCGCUUGAUGAGGGGCCCGCGUCUGAUUAGCUAGUUGGGAGGUAACGGCCCACCAAGGCAACGAUCAGUAUCCGGCCUGAGAGGGCGGACGGACACACUGGGACUGAGACACGGCCCAGACUCCUACGGGAGGCAGCAGUGGGGAAUUGUUCGCAAUGGGCGCAAGCCUGACGACGCAACGCCGCGUGGAGGAUGAAGGUCUUCGGAUUGUAAACUCCUGUUGCCCGGGACGAAUGGCUCCGACCUAACACGUCGGAGUGUGACGGUACCGGGUGAGGA